RNAcentral lists this ribosomal RNA (460 nucleotides) under uncultured bacterium. Its description in RNAcentral is "partial 16S ribosomal RNA". It matches the Rfam family "Bacterial small subunit ribosomal RNA", at positions 338 to 795 of the family's 1533-position model. The record is from RNAcentral.
CCUACGUGCGGCUGCAGUGAGGAAUAUUGGUCAAUGGGCUUACGCCUGAACCAGCCAAGUCGCGUGAGGGAAGACUGCCCUAUGGGUUGUCAACCUCUUUUGUCAGGGAGCAACGCCGGCUACGUGUAGCCGGACUGAGAGUACCUGAAGAAAAAGCAUCGGCUAACUCCGUGCCAGCAGCCGCGGUAAUACGGAGGAUGCGAGCGUUAUCCGGAUUUAUUGGGUUUAAGGGGUGCGUAGGCGGAAUGCCAAGUCAGCGGUAAAAUCGCGGGGCUCAACCUCGCUCCGACGUUGAAACUGGCGUUCUUGAGUGGGCGAGAAGUAUGCGGAAUGCGUGGUGUAGCGGUGAAAUGCAGAGAGAUCACGCAGAACUCCGAUUGCGAGGGCAGCAUACCGGCGCCCAACUGACGCUGAAGCACGAAAGCGUGGGUAUCGAACAGGAUUAGAUACCCCGGUAGUC